Molecule: transfer RNA, 75 nt
Filed under: Candidatus Babelota bacterium
Lineage: Bacteria
Also listed under: 1 other name
Description: tRNA-Thr
Rfam family: tRNA
About the family: Transfer RNA (tRNA) molecules are approximately 80 nucleotides in length.
Source: RNAcentral
GCCGAUGUAGCUCAGUGGUAGAGCAACUGAUUCGUAAUCAGUAGGCCGUCGGUUCAAAUCCGAUCAUCGGCUCCA